This 273-nucleotide unclassified non-coding RNA is filed under the name Hevea brasiliensis (rubber tree). Lineage: Eukaryota; Viridiplantae; Streptophyta; Magnoliopsida; Malpighiales; Euphorbiaceae. The record is from RNAcentral.
CACUCCGGCGGUGACAAUCAAGGAGCCACGCGGGGUUAUCGUUCAGAUGCUCGACCGACUGACGGAAAGCCGGUUGCAGCGUGAAGCCCGCAGGGCGCGAUUUGAGNUAUACCGAGGCGGACAUCACGCCCCACCGGAUGAGACGGGAAUAAUCCCGACAAUUGAGCGCAAGGUUUCAGCGCCGUUGCAUCAAGAGGCUGCUCCAGCCUUCGAUCUGAAUUUGCUUGAGCAGCUUCAAUCCUGCGCCGCGAUAGGCGGCGACCACGCUGCUCG